AUUGAACGCUGGCGGCAUGCUUUACACAUGCAAGUCGAACGGCAGCGCGGGCUUCGGCCUGCCGGGGAGUGGGGAACGGGGGGGUAAUGCACCGGAACGUGCCCGGAAGUGGGGGAUAGCCGGGCGAAGGCCGGAUUAAUCCCGCAUACGACCUGAGGGGGAAAGGGGGGGCCCGAAAGGCCUCGCGCAAUUGGAGCGGCCGAUGUCGGAUUAGCUAGUUGGUGGGGUAAAGGCUUACCAAGGCGACGAUCCGUAGCUGGUCUGAGAGGACGACCAGCCACACUGGGACUGAGACACGGCCCAGACUCCUACGGGAGGCAGCAGUGGGGAAUUUUGGACAAUGGGGGCAACCCUGAUCCAGCCAUGCCGCGUGCGGGAAGAAGGCCUUCGGGUUGUAAACCGCUUUUGUUCGGGAAGAAAUCCUCUGGGCUAAUACCCCGGGGGGAUGACGGUACCGGAAGAAUAAGCACCGGCUAACUACGUG
This 484-nucleotide ribosomal RNA is filed under the name uncultured bacterium. RNAcentral's name for it is "partial 16S ribosomal RNA". It matches the Rfam family "Bacterial small subunit ribosomal RNA", at positions 28 to 507 of the family's 1533-position model. The record is from RNAcentral.